Non-coding RNA from Ictidomys tridecemlineatus (thirteen-lined ground squirrel), 1465 nucleotides. The record is from RefSeq and is a predicted model, not a curated record. NCBI's taxonomy places the organism in Eukaryota, Metazoa, Chordata, Mammalia, Rodentia, Sciuridae.
GGUCCAUCCUACACUAGAGUCUAGAAAGAAAAAAAAAAAAAAAGACAAACUACAUUGCCGACACUCGCCUCCAACUCAGAAUCAAAUGUGGUUUGGGCCCAUCAAUCAGCAUCACUCACAGGAAUCCUGAAUUCAGAUUCAAGUCCACAGAGGAAGAAGCACGCGAGUCUGAAGCUGCCAUUCUGCUGAUACAAGUUAGUGAACAACUCACUCUGGAUCCGACCAUUCUGGCCACAGCUGCCCACUGCUGCCCCAGGGCUCAGCCUUGGUCUGGGACAUGAGAGUUUUCAUUCUCGGCUUCCCACUUGUGGCAGAAAGCACUUCCCCUUAGUUGAUCCUGCAGUAUUGUGGCAGGUUCCGUUCCUGGAGACCUAGCCCGCAGCCUUCUUCAGCCCUUCAGCAGUUUUUGAGCAUGUCCACCCUACAGGAGUCCCUGCACACUACAGUGUCUAGGCAGACGGAUCCUGCUACCUGCAACUGCACCUUGGCCAAUGUGGAAGUCAUGAGCUGGUGGAACCUGCAGGACUUCCAGGUGUGUGGAAUCCAAAUGCAGGAAAUGGAGAACAGACAGCUCUUCCCCUGUCCCAGGAGGUGCUGUUUUAAGUGCGUUGCAAGAAGCAGGAUCAGUGGAAACCAAAAGAACAAAGGAGACGUUCAGUUUGCUUUGCACAUACUGCAUUUUACGCGCUUGCUGGGGGAACUCGGGGUGGCACAGUUUUGCACGGAUCCUGCUAGGAAAGACCUUGCAGCUACAACUAAUUUCAAUUUUCCCCGUGAUUCUUACCACGGCUUACCAGGCUCUGUGAUUUUUCUCCUUCUCUGAAUUAUUCUGGAGAAGCCGAAUCACUAUAAUUAAUCGUCACACGGCACUAAUGGGGCAUGACUAUGUACUGGGCUUUGUUGUGAAUGAUUUCUAGAGGUUCCCUCAUUUAAUCCUCUUGACAACCCAUGACAUGGGUGGAAUUAUUAUUCCUGUUCUCAGAUUAGAAAACAGAAGCACACAUAAAUUAAGCAGUGUGUCCAAGGUCACAGCGCUGGUAAGCACUGGGCUGAAACUGACCCAGGUGGUCUGGCUCCAUGGUCCAUGUCCUUGGUCCUCUGAUGGGACAUGAUAGUCCUUAUGUCAAGUUUGGACCCAACUUGAGAAAGAUGGGAUUGGCAAACCAACCUGAAAACGCUUUGCUCUGGAUAAAACAAUAAAGGCUCAAAAGAGGCCAACUGACUUCUCAAGGCAGCCGAAUCUCAAUCUCCAAUGUCCAGGUUCACUGCUGUUUCCACUACACCAUGUUGUCACUGCAAAUUCAGCAUGAAGAAACCCGAGUACCAAAGCAUGUCACAAGAGGCAGGUGUCAAGUUUCAAUUAAACUUUGGAGGGUUGUGUAACAACUAAUUAAAAUUCGUUUUUCAUUUUCCUCCAAAGAAAUGCUUACUCCUCUGAUCCAGAGGGGAAGAAACUACCAGAAGC